AGUGAACGCUGGCGGUAGGCCUAACACAUGCAAGUCGAACGGCAGCACAGUAAGAGCUUGCUCUUACGGGUGGCGAGUGGCGGACGGGUGAGGAAUACAUCGGAAUCUACUUUUUCGUGGGGGAUAACGUAGGGAAACUUACGCUAAUACCGCAUACGACCUACGGGUGAAAGCAGGGGAUCUUCGGACCUUGCGCGAUUGAAUGAGCCGAUGUCGGAUUAGCUAGUUGGCGGGGUAAAGGCCCACCAAGGCGACGAUCCGUAGCUGACCUGAGAGGAUGAGAGGGAGCACGGGAACUGAGAGACGGUCCAGACGCCUACGGGGGGCAGCAGUAGGGAAUGUGCCGCAAGGGGCGGAAGCCUGAAGGAGCAAAGCAGAGUGAGUGAUGAAGGUCUUCGGAUAGUAAAACUCUGUUAUGAGGGAAGAACAUAUGUGUAAGUAACUGUGCACAUCUUGACGGUACCUAAUCAGAAAGCCACGGCUAACUACGUG
RNAcentral lists this ribosomal RNA (492 nucleotides) under uncultured bacterium. RNAcentral's name for it is "partial 16S ribosomal RNA". It matches the Rfam family "Bacterial small subunit ribosomal RNA", at positions 29 to 507 of the family's 1533-position model. The record is from RNAcentral.